AUGUUUAGUGCGACCCUACAGGUUGGUUACUCCAUAAGGUUUGAGGAUUGUACCUCAGAGAAAACAAUGAUUAAAUACAUGACUGAUGGAAUGCUUUUGAGGGAGUUUCUUGGAGAACCAGAUUUGGCUGGCUAUAGUGUUGUCAUGGUUGAUGAGGCUCAUGAGCGCACGCUGUCUACUGAUAUCUUGUUUGGUUUGGUUAAGGACAUUGCUAGGUUUCGUCCAGACCUGAAGUUGCUCAUUUCAAGUGCAACCCUUGACGCAGAAAAAUUUAGCGACUACUUUGAUUCAGCUCCUAUUUUCAAGAUUCCUGGGAGGCGAUACCCUGUUGAAGUACAUUAUACAAAAGCUCCAGAAGCAGAUUACAUUGAUGCUGCCAUUGUCACUAUUUUACAGAUACAUGUGACA
This 408-nucleotide ribosomal RNA is filed under the name Triticum aestivum (bread wheat). Its description in RNAcentral is "partial small subunit ribosomal RNA". The record is from RNAcentral. Lineage: Eukaryota; Viridiplantae; Streptophyta; Magnoliopsida; Poales; Poaceae.